Molecule: ribosomal RNA, 332 nt
Filed under: uncultured microorganism
Description: bacterial SSU rRNA
Rfam family: Bacterial small subunit ribosomal RNA
Source: RNAcentral
GAGUUUGAUCUUGGCUCAGAUUGAACGCUGGCGGCAUGCCUUACACAUGCAAGUCGAACGGCAGCAUGAUCUAGCUUGCUAGAUUGAUGGCGAGUGGCGAACGGGUGAGUAAUACAUCGGAACGUGCCCUGUAGUGGGGAGUAACUAGUCGAAAGAUUGGCUAAUACCGCAUACGACCUGAGGGUGGAAAGUAGGGGGACCGGCAAGGCCUCAUGCUAUAGGAGCGGCCGAUGUCUGAUUAGCUAGUUGGUGGGGUAAAGGCCCGACCAAGGCGACGAUCAGUAGCUGGUCUGAGAGGACGAUCAGCCACACUGGGACUGAGACACGGCCCA